RNAcentral lists this unclassified non-coding RNA (130 nucleotides) under plant metagenome. RNAcentral's name for it is "partial contains 5.8S ribosomal RNA, internal transcribed spacer 2, and large subunit ribosomal RNA". The record is from RNAcentral.
GGACUGGAAUUGCUGGCAAUAGAUGAUGCCGUGACCGAGGUAAGCCAGGCGACAGAAGUAUAAGCAGAGCACCAGUGUCAGGUGCCGUCAGUGGCAGCAAGGGGAAUAUUGUGGGCUACGACGUUUAUAU